Molecule: long non-coding RNA, 1142 nt
Organism: Triticum dicoccoides
Lineage: Eukaryota; Viridiplantae; Streptophyta; Magnoliopsida; Poales; Poaceae
Exons: 3
Source: RefSeq, a predicted model, not a curated record
AGUCAAGGAGUACAAUACCAAAAUACGAGCUGCAAAAGUGACUCAAAUUCCUCUUCGCUCAUAAUUAACUACAUUGGUAAUUGUCCAUGUGUGGAUCUGGUUGACAUGACCAUAUUUUUUGCUGUUUGCCAUUCAAUUUUAACUACAAUAUUGUUUCUAGAUAAGAUAUUGUUUUAUGUAUUAUCAUGGGUGCACUUCUUAAGUUUCAUGCACAAGUUGUUGAUAUUUACACAAUACUUAAGUUUCAUGCACAAGAGGAAACAAUUCCCUGGAUGGAUCCUGGAAAGCCUCUUCCGGAACCAAGUCCCCUCCCCACUCGGAGUCCUCCGCCGCUGACGCAUGGGUAAGCGCAAGAGCUGUAGCCCGUCCACACGGUUCAGCGAGCUGCCGCCGUCGUAGAUAACCAAGACAUACACGGAAAUAAGCAAGAUUCAGUGCGCCGCCCUGCCCCCGCGCGUUCUGAGGGUGCGACGUCCUCGACGUGUCCAAGACAGGGUCCAGGAAGACCCUCUCCUUCGUGAUCCCGAUAGGCCCAAUCUUCCUCGACGAGGGGUUGUGAUGGCGGGCACAGCGUUGCUGGAUGACGCUGAGAGUAUAGUGGGUGGGUUCAAGUACAUCCCUCUGUGCCAGCAUGCAGCGGGUCUGCGGACAGGGAGAGCCAGGAAGAGAAUGUAGUCCUCGGCAGCCGAGCGGGAAGGGGGGCAGCUUGCCGUGAUUGAAGAACAUGACGACCAUGCUGAUACAAGGUCAGUGAUGUAGACAGGGAAGAUGGACCCUCAUGCCCCUGGGUGGACGAAGAGAUUGUGCAGGAUUGGAGUAGGGAGCCAUCCACCGGAAAGGACCCCGUGUUCGGAGAAGGUUUGCGCACUUGAAAAGACGAUUAGUAUGUGAAGAAGUGCACCUUCACAGAUCUGAAUAUUGAUACCCUUCCUAAUCCUUAGUUUUGGGCCUUGUUCAGCAUAUACAGAUAUACUACCAUCUUAGAGAAAUAUGUUGUUUAAAGAUGAAGAGGUGGAUAAGUUUCUGGCUUUAGUUACUGAAUAUCCAGAUCCGGUUUGCUUCUCAGCCAUGGCCUACAUUUAGAGAAGACAUGUUCAUAUGUAAGAGAUUUAAGAUCAGUUACCUCCUCAUGUUGUAAUGCU